Molecule: long non-coding RNA, 621 nt
Organism: Oncorhynchus keta (chum salmon)
Lineage: Eukaryota; Metazoa; Chordata; Actinopteri; Salmoniformes; Salmonidae
Exons: 3
Source: RefSeq, a predicted model, not a curated record
CUCUCUCCUCUCCCUGCCUGUGGUCAAUGGCAUGGGAGGGUGUGCUGCCGUACGGCCGCUGGGACUGUUAGUGUGCGUUUAAGCGCCAGCGGGGAUGCUCCAUGAACUGAAGGAGCAGGUGUCCACCAGGAUGAUGACCCUGUGGCACAGCCUGUCCCAGCUGGGCAAUAGCAUCCAGGAGGUCACAGGAGGAAUGCGGGUGGCAUUCACGGCCACCAUGAGUCCCAAAAGCCACUGCUUCGGCCCCUUCACCAGUAACGUGCCGAUUCCCUACACCGAGAUCUCCCUCAACCACGGAAACUGCUAAAACCCUGCCCUGGAGGCUGAACCACAAGCUGCGGCUGAUGAGGAAUGGGGAGAUGGUGGUGUCCACGUGGGAGGAUAACGAGGAGGACUCGGAAGACAGACCGCCCUGGUCCUGCUGGACAGAGGCAGCCAGACGUACGUGGAGCUGCUCUCUGGAAGACAGCUGUGUGGAGGCGGAAACCCAUAGACAGACAUAUUGUACAUCCAAUGAGACAUACAACUGUACUGAACAGUUAAAAGCACAUGAAAAUUGUAGUCAACUCUGAUCAUUCUCCUUAAAAAAGCAAUCUAUGUAUUUUUUUAAAUAAAAAAGGU